This 312-nucleotide ribosomal RNA is filed under the name uncultured Planctomycetota bacterium. RNAcentral describes it as "bacterial SSU rRNA". It matches the Rfam family "Bacterial small subunit ribosomal RNA", at positions 29 to 351 of the family's 1533-position model. Lineage: Bacteria; Pseudomonadati; Planctomycetota. The record is from RNAcentral.
AACGAACGCUGGCGGCGUGGCUAAGACAUGCAAGUCGCACGGUGUAGCAAUACACAGUGGCGAACGGGUGAGUAAUGAAUCGCUAAUGUACCCCGGACUCUGGGAUAGCUGACCGAAAGGUCAGGUAAUACCAGAUGAGACCCCGAUCAGGCAUCUGAUUGUGCUCAAAGGUCCGCCGGUCUGGGAGCAGGCGAUUUCGUAUCAGCUAGUUGGUGAGGUAACGGCUCACCAAGGCGACGACGCGUAGCCGGACUGAGAGGUUGGCCGGCCACAUUGGGACUGAGACACUGCCCAGACUCCUACGGGAGGCUG